RNAcentral lists this long non-coding RNA (292 nucleotides) under Ananas comosus (pineapple). RNAcentral describes it as "long non-coding RNA (ACOM_LNC007628)". The record is from RNAcentral. Lineage: Eukaryota; Viridiplantae; Streptophyta; Magnoliopsida; Poales; Bromeliaceae.
AGAUAGAGUUUAGUUAAAUUUCAAAUAUAACAGGGGUAUUUAUGAAAUAAAGUAAGUAAUUGACCAUUAAAUAUAAGAGGGGUAAAGUUGGAAUUUAAGUAUUAUUAACUUCAAUUUGGAUGGGCACUUAAUGGUAGGGUUAUUUUUGAAAGUUUUUUAAAUUUAGGAGGGUAUACAUGAUAUUUCAAUUUUUAUAUGGAUAUUUAUGAAAUUAGAUAAUUUUAGAAGUGUAUUGAGAAAAUUUUUUCUAUUUUAUAAAUUAUAAAAUUUUAAAGAAUUAUUUUGUUAAAAU